Molecule: transfer RNA, 83 nt
Filed under: uncultured Faecalibacterium sp.
Lineage: Bacteria; Bacillati; Bacillota; Clostridia; Eubacteriales; Oscillospiraceae
Description: tRNA-???(cagg)
Source: RNAcentral
UGCUCUGCUGGGCAAUGGCCGCGGUCAGCUCCUUCAGGGCGGAGCGGUCCAGCGGCUUCAGGUUCCAGGCCCGGUAGGUCGUC